CCCUUAGAUGUUCUGGGCCGCACGCGCGCUACACCGACGAUGGCAACGAGUUUUUCCUUCGCCGAAAGGUGUGGGUAAUCUUUUGAAACAUCGUCGUGCUGGGGAUAGAUCAUUGCAAUUUUUGAUCUUGAACGAGGAAUUCCUAGUAAGCGCGAGUCAUCAGCUCGCGUUGAUUACGUCCCUGCCCUUUGUACACACCGCCCGUCGCUACUACCGAUUGAAUGGUUUAGUGAGGACUCCUGAUUGGCGCCGCCGCCCCGGCAACGGAGCAGCGGACUGCCGAAAAGUUGUUCAAACUUGAUCAUUUAGAGGAAGUAAAAGUCGUAACA
This 329-nucleotide ribosomal RNA is filed under the name uncultured eukaryote. RNAcentral describes it as "partial 18S ribosomal RNA". It matches the Rfam family "Eukaryotic small subunit ribosomal RNA", at positions 1470 to 1796 of the family's 1831-position model. The record is from RNAcentral.